Molecule: ribosomal RNA, 492 nt
Filed under: uncultured bacterium
Lineage: Bacteria
Description: partial 16S ribosomal RNA
Rfam family: Bacterial small subunit ribosomal RNA
Source: RNAcentral
AGUGAACGCUGGCGGUAGGCCUAACACAUGCAAGUCGAACGGCAGCACAGUAAGAGCUUGCUCUUACGGGUGGCGAGUGGCGGACGGGUGAGGAAUACAUCGGAAUCUACUUUUUCGUGGGGGAUAACGUAGGGAAACUUACGCUAAUACCGCAUACGACCUACGGGUGAAAGCAGGGGAUCUUCGGACCUUGCGCGAUUGAAUGAGCCGAUGUCGGAUUAGCUAGUUGGCGGGGUAAAGGCCCACCAAGGCGACGAUCCGUAGCUGGUCUGAGAGGAUGAUCAGCCACACGGGAACUGAGACACGGUCCAGACUCCUACGGGAGGCAGCAGGGGGGAAUAUUGGACAAAGGGGGCAAGCCUGAUCCAGCCAUACCGCGUGGGUGAAGAAGGCCUUCGGGUUGUAAAGCCCUUUUGUUGGGAAAGAAAAGCAGCAGGUUAAUACCCCGCUGUUCUGACGGUACCCAAAGAAUAAGCACCGGCUAACUUCGUG